Molecule: transfer RNA, 73 nt
Filed under: Canis lupus familiaris (dog)
Lineage: Eukaryota; Metazoa; Chordata; Mammalia; Carnivora; Canidae
Also listed under: 1 other name
Rfam family: tRNA
About the family: Transfer RNA (tRNA) molecules are approximately 80 nucleotides in length. Their secondary structure includes four short double-helical elements and three loops (D, anti-codon, and T loops).
Source: Rfam by way of RNAcentral
ACGCGGCUGGCUCAGUCUGUGGAGCUUGUGACUUCUGAUCUCCGGGUGGUGGGUUCGAGUCCCAUGUUGGGUG